UACGUAGGGUGCGAGCGUUGUCCGGAAUUAUUGGGCGUAAAGAGCUUGUAGGCGGUCUGUCGCGUCUGCUGUGAAAAUCCGGGGCUCAACCCCGGACUUGCAGUGGGUACGGGCAGACUAGAGUGUGGUAGGGGAGACUGGAAUUCCUGGUGUAGCGGUGAAAUGCGUAGAUAUCGGUAGGAACACCAUUGGCGAAGGCGGUCUCCUGGGGCAUUCUUGACGCUGAGGCGCGAAAGCUGGGGGAGCGAACGGG
RNAcentral lists this ribosomal RNA (253 nucleotides) under uncultured bacterium. RNAcentral's name for it is "partial 16S ribosomal RNA". It matches the Rfam family "Bacterial small subunit ribosomal RNA", at positions 524 to 776 of the family's 1533-position model. The record is from RNAcentral.